RNAcentral lists this long non-coding RNA (1298 nucleotides) under Calidris pugnax (ruff). RNAcentral's name for it is "lncRNA (ENSCPUG00000005852.1)". The record is from RNAcentral. Lineage: Eukaryota; Metazoa; Chordata; Aves; Charadriiformes; Scolopacidae.
UGUGAUAACAAUUCCAUUGGUAUACAUCUGGAAAAAUAUACCUAAAUAUGACAAAAUUAUUACAGAUUAUAUCAUUCAAAUAUGACCAGAAGCUGGCUCUGUGGUUUUAGAGCUUACCUGCUAAUAUUUUAGUUGGGUUUUGUACUGUAUUAAAAAAGAAGAAUGUUGGUUUUAUCAUAGUAGUCAUUCCGUGUACUAAAAUUUCUGUGAAGAUGACUAAUGUCAUCUAAUGCAGGCUGUAAUAAAGUCCAAGUAAAUAACACAAUUUGUUUUUUGGCUCCAACAUGAAUGUGCCAGCUUCUUUUUCUCUUUUCCUCCAGACUAAAGGUUCGUCCUUUUUUUUUUCUUUUUUGCUGUCCUGAUUAUUACACCCUGGUGUCCAAGAGGUAGGACUGUGCUAGGGGUAACAACACCAUCUAUUAAGCUCAUAGCAUGUUAACAGACCACCCCAGGGCUCCUGGGUUUUCCUGAUGCCCACCUCGGGUUGUCCUACCACAGUGUCCUUUGGUUCUCUGCAGCCUUAGGGAGCGCUCUCUUGCUGGAGACCUGGGGGUGGAAAAGCUUCUCAUUAAGAAUAAAGUUCUGCCAUCUGUCACCAGCCUCAUGUAAACAGCUGAACCAAAACGUCUUGGCUUCCCCGGACCCUGAGUGCUUCCAACAAAAGUCAGUGCUCCAGCUCUGAUCCCUCAGAUGAAACCCUGGCCCUGCAGAAGCCAUCAGGAGUGUCCCCACGCUGGAAUCUGAUUUCUGAAAGUUUUAAGUCCUCGCAGUCCCAGCUGGAGACAAUGGGUGCUGUGGGUGGUUAGCCUUUCUCCCGAAUGCUGUUCUGCAUCUCCUGUGUUGGGCACUUCAUCACUGAAGAACUAUGGUGCUUUUGUUAUGAAUUCUGCUCCUAGGAGGAAAUUGUCACCCAGAAAAUGAAUAUAAUAAUACCCCUCUGCCUAACAAUGAUACUAUAAAGAAAAACAUAAUUCAUACAUUUUUCCGAGACAUCCAGGUACUGUGGCAGUAGAAGUCACCAAAAAAAAAAAAAAAGACUAUGAGGAAAAGGAUAAUUCUGUGCUAAGAAUACUGUACAGCAAAUUAGGCCUAGGGCCAUGAUAUAACUAAUGAGGAGAAACUGAAAUCCUGAAUAGCUGCCUCAUUCACCAAGCUCUAUUCAUCCAGGUUGCUACUGGAGGCAAGCAACCUACAGUAAAAAUAGCAGGCAGUAAUUUGAGUAUUAAGUAACUUCAUUAAUGAUUACUUCGUAAGGCAUGUAUACAAUGAAGACAAAUAAAGAUAGGCUAAGUUCAACA